This 255-nucleotide ribosomal RNA is filed under the name uncultured bacterium. RNAcentral's name for it is "partial 16S ribosomal RNA". It matches the Rfam family "Bacterial small subunit ribosomal RNA", at positions 524 to 776 of the family's 1533-position model. The record is from RNAcentral.
UACGGGGGGGGGCAAGCGUUGUUCGGAAUUACUGGGCGUAAAGGGCUCGUAGGUGGCCAACUAAGUCAGACGUGAAAUCCCUCGGCUUAACCGGGGAACUGCGUCUGAUACUGGAUGGCUUGAGUUCGGGAGAGGGAUGCGGAAUUCCAGGUGUAGCGGUGAAAUGCGUAGAUAUCGAGAGGAACACCUGCGGCGAAGGCGGGUUGCUGGGCUGAUACUGACGCUGGAGGCGCGAAAGCUAGGGGAGCGAACGGG